UAAGACCCAUGAUGUCUUUAAGUUUGUCCCAGAAAACACAAAUGAACACAGAAGCCUGAUUAUUUUACCACUGCCAUACAUGGAGAACAUUUUCAAAAUGUAGUUUAGCUGGACAAGCACAUAAUUUACCUUACAAGCUACUGUCAGCUUAACAACAGAUCCAUUUUCAAGUAGCUGGCAUCUAAGACACUCACAAACUCUCUUCGAAAUUCAGAGUAGGUACUGUAAGUGCAGGGUAUCUGCAACACUGGACCACAUGUAUGUGCAACUGGACACCUUCGUAAACCCCUGAGAUCUGUAAACUCAACAUCAAUAACAUCAGCCCCAGUGGUAAAGUGCAGAAAUGUAUGCAGUUUUGCUGUGAGAAGGUUGUUUCUCAUUGGGUUUAAGCAAUGCAAUAAUGCCUUUUGCGGUUGGAAUUUUGGAUUCAUAAAGGGCUUAAACUGCAGACAGAGUUGGAAGCAGACUUUUUAAAGUACACUGAGCAUACAUCAUUUUAAGAGCAUACACUGGCUUCUGUAUGAGUUGUUUGUGAGCAGUCUGUAUGAUGGUGGGUUAUGGAUAGGGUUAGGGCUCACCAACUGCGUUUUCAUGUUAUUGCCACGUGUUGUGAUGAAAGACCACAUUUUGAGUUCCAUAUUUUGUUAAUGCUUAGAGAGAGAACUGAUGAAACAGAGAAUGUAAUAUAAUUUCUGUGAUCAUUAUAUCUUUUAUUAUUCCAGGGCCUUCUCAAGUUGAUCACGCUCAGUACUUCCUAGAAAGGCCACAACAAUCAUACCAAUCCCCAAGAAUAACAACCCAACUACAAAAGCGCCUGCAAACCCCAUUCCAGUACCAGCUAACACCGAUGUUAUGUCUGACAGAAUUGUUCCAAUUGCAAUUAGCAUACCAACUACACAAGUGGAAACAGAGCCUGUAACAUGACAAAGUUUGUGAAGAACUUCUGAGACUUGGUAGUCAUGGUAGUCAUGAACAGAGACAUGUUCUUCAGUUUCUCAUACAGCGUCGGUUCCAGGUUCUCCUUCAGCAGCGUGUCAAUCUUCAUUUCUGCCUGGAUCUCAUAUAUGCGUUCAAUGAUUAAGUCACAGUUCUCCUUCACAGUAGCUUUCUUGUUCACGGCAAUCGGACUGAAGGACAAACCUAAGGGUCUCAAUGAGUUGGUUGGUGGCGCAGAAGUUGUUUUUCAUCAAUCUAGAAGCUCUUGAUUUUUGCGGAUAAGCCUCUCCCUUCUUUCAGGAAUUCCAGGGUAAAAAUAUCACUCCACAUUUUUCUUCAGGGUCUUGAAAUAAAGAGAGAAACUUUAGGAAUUUCACAAGCGCUGAUGCUAGUGAUUGUGAUAAACAUUAAUAAGACUGAAUAUGUAGUAAUGUAAGAGCUAAUUUUCUAUGAAAGAAGCAUUACAUGAGGUUAGUGCAGACAUUGUUUGUUUUACAACAACAAAUAUAGAAAGCUGUUUGGUUUUUGACAUUUUUGUAGCUCUGCAGUGUGUCUAAUGUAUAAGCAGUUGCAUUACUCAGAAAAACAACUCACAUUUCAGGACAGCCAGUGUUGAAGAAUUUCAGUCAGCUGAAAAUCUUCAGUAUUUUAAGGAAACUAGCUCAAAACACUGUUUUAACCUAACAGCACUUGUGCAUUGCAACAAGCAUGACAAAUUCUCAUCUCAAUAUUGUGUGAAUUCAUGAUUCCAAAAAUAAUAAUAUAUAAUAAUAUUUAAAAUCAUUGGUUUUAUUCAUGUCAAAAAUAUUAUUUAACAUCACUCAAGCAACAUAAAUACAUCACUUUAUACAUAACAAAUCGGUUUUUAAGGGGUUAAAUCAGGUAACAAUGACAGGUUACCUCUUUUCUACAGUGUACAUCAGUAUCAGCAUAUGAAUCCACUGAACGCAGUGGAUGUAUAACUGUAUAGUUCACAGUCCAGUUAUACAGAAAUCUACAAUCACAAAUGUCCAGCUUAUAUUUUGUCUGCUUUUGCUCUAUUGAUAAUCAAUACUUAUUUUAUUUGAUCAUUAACAGCCCUAUAGUGUCAUCAUUCCAACUGAAUUAAUUUAAUACAUUUAAGAAUUUACAUGAAACAUGACACAUACAUUUAAAAAGGUAAAAAUGUGAGUUUAAAAGGACAAUUGUCACCACUAAUGAAAAAUGUUAUGUCCAUUGCUGCAUAGGUUUGUGACUCACUUUCAGUUAUUCUGCUGGCUUCAUCGAAUCCCUCAGUUUUAUGUUGUUUUACUCCACCUGUGAGAUUAAAAGCAGCAUCUCCAUCCAUGUGAACCGCAACAGUCCUGCUCUAUUUGUCAUAUUCAUACAGAAUUAAUUUAACCUGUCUUUCUAUGGGAAAAUGCGAUCGCUAGUGCGCACAUACUGAGCGUGGUUAUCGGACUGUAUUUGAACCACACAAAUGUACAGUAUUUGAAUCAAUAUAAAUAAAUGUAUUCAUUCUACACUACAGCACUGAACAUCAACACAGUCAAUGAACCAUCAUAUAAUUUAUAUCCAGUCUUGCUAUCAGACCUUUUCAGAUGAUUGCUAAGAAUUGUUUUUAAAAAUCUGUUCUGUUAGAGUACUCCUGGUACUCCUUGUUUGUUCUGGGUGUUGUAACAGACUGUUCUUUUCCCAGCUUUAAAGAUCAACAUAUUAGAUUUCAACUAAGCUGAAAUGAACCUAAAUGCUAUCAGAUAAAGUUGAGGAUUGUUCUUGCUUACCUGUCUUUAUUCUGAAGCUCUGAAGACUGUCUGAGCUGUAGUUUGUGCCGUCUUCUGGAUGAGUUUCUCGAGAUAAAAACAAACAAAAAAAACCUUUCAAAUAUUCAGUAUAUGGAGCAAGUUCCAGUUUAUAAAUGCUAGUCUAUGAUGAAUGAGUGUGGCCAUGACAUUGUAUCCUGUAUUUUUAUCAAUGGCUUCCCUAUGACAAACUCAAAAUAUAAAAACAUAUUUACAAACACAUAGUAUCUCAUUACUAAAUUCGUAUAAAAAUUACACUCUUAUAUUACUUGUGAACUUGUUGUAACAAUUUGCAAAAUGUAAUACUUUACUACAAAAAUAAAAAAGUAAUCUUCAUUAAAAGUGUUCAAAUACAGGCAUAGGCGAUGGUUUGGCCACCCCGAGAUAAAUUACAUGUUAAGUGAAUUUAGCCACAUUACAUGUUAUAUUGACUCAGAGUAAAAAAAAAAAAAAAAUGCAUCAAUCUUUUAAGCCACAUUUAUGGUUUUAUUUUUCCCCCAUUAUAAAUUAUGCACACAAACUUGCAGAAAUAUAUUUCUGGAGUUUCUGGCCUCCAACAAGAUGAUCCUAAAACAACAACAAAGGCACUUUCCAGUAAACAGUACAGCAACAAUGGACUCUUUGCCAAUAAUACCUACUGUGGCUUUUCCUGAAAGAAAAAUAUAACCGUUAAAAAAAAGAAUAAAACAAUCUAAAAAAAAAAAUCAAAUCAAAGGCUAAAAACUUGUUUUUUAUAAACACGGCAUCCUUUGUUGCUGAAAACGUCUUCCUGCGUUUGUUUCUCAGAAUUACAGUUGCGCUGCUAAAGUUUUGAGUCACCCUUUUUUCAUUUUCCCCUAGUGUUUUUGUCCUCAUGAUUCAGAUUUUUUCUUCAAUUAAUUUAUUUGAUUUUUGAAAAUCAUUAAAGAUAUUCUUUGCACAAACAAAAAAAGAAUCAUAUCAACAAUCAUACACUUUCUAUUUACCGGUUAUGCCCUCUGAGUGCAAGAUUUCAUUUGAUUGGAUGUUGAUAAAGACAAGAUUCAUCAUUGCCCACAGCCAACACCUUCACUUUAUCCAGAACGCUGGGCACCACCACUACACGACUAGAGGCCACGCGUCUAUUUUGAUUUCGGAGAUGUGUAUGGAUCUAUUGAAGAAACACAUUUCUGUAUUGUACAAAAAGUGCAACUUCAAUCCAGAACAAUCAAUAGUUUGAGUAUGUUCAGAGUACUAGCUCUAGGUGGGUGUAAAGUUCACCACUGGUCAACUUUAGGACCUUUGAGAGAAUGAAAAACUACACUGACUCAAAGCUGUUUCACCACCAUGAUUCUCAUAAUGCCCUCUGUCAGUUGGCCCAAGCUGCAAAAAUCUCCAUUUUCCAUAUGGAAAACAGCAACAUUUGCGGAGUCAGUUAAAUACAGACUGUCUGUAUCAGCCUGAAACACAAAAAAGUUAUACAUGAAAUACGCCUUUUACAUCUAGGGAUUUUUUUCAAGACCAAUUAAACUACACUUGCAACUCAUUCAAGUCCAGUUUGAGCAACUUAACACGUCAGAGUUGACAAACAGUAUUGUGUGAGGUUUUCCUGCAUAUCAAGCUCCUCCCGGUCUACUAACAGGAUGAGUAGCCCUUUCAGCAGAAAGUUCACUCUGUUGUUGACUUCUAGCCAUAUUCUUUCAAUAAUGUGAUUCUGUUUUAUAAAUGAAAAGAAAGACUAGACAGUAAAGUUUGAUGAUGCAAACUAUGGUUUUGGGUUGGACAAAGACUUGUUAUUAAAUGCUUAAAGUUUGAAAGUUUUACAACAAAAACAGAUAGUCAUUCAGAAAGAUAGACAUAUAUCAAAAGUAUCUAGAGGGUUUAGUAAGAGUAUGGUGAGGCAGUUUCUAUGGAGUUGUAAUCUGGUUAGUUAGUGUUUGCAUGUGUAGCAUGUCUGGACCGGUCACCUUCAUACACACAAAGACCUCGCGAUCACUCGUUAAUGAGAGUUUAUUAACAACAGCAGAGAAGAAACAGUAAUGCAGGUAUUAGAGAUCGUGGAUGGACAGAUGAUGGAGGGAUGCACACACUUAACAGAAGGUAAGUAUUCACACAAAGACACUGGAGCACGAAGACAAGGAGAACAUGCUGGAGGAACACAGGAGGUAAGUACCAGGAGACGUAGGAGUGACAAGGGAGAAGUGAACAAGACUGGACACUGGAGUGAGGUGAGGUAUGUGCUGAAGUAGCCAGCGUAAUGAGUGUGUUGACUGAAGACAGGCGUGUGUGAUCAGUACUCUGGUGAGGGAGUGCAUUGUGAUUGGCUGGUGAGGGAGCCUGGCUGAUCUGUGACAUUAUUUGAAUUUAUAAAUAUACAAAAAUGCAUCGCUUCGCUUCAGAAGGCCUUUAUUAACCCCCUGGAGCCAUAUGGGUUGCUUUUUUUGUGGAUGGAUGCAUUAUUUUUGGCUUCAAAAUGCCAAACCCUAGUAAAAAAAAAGUAUACUUUUUUGUAUUUCAAAUAUAUUCCCUUUUCAAUAAAGUAUAUUAGCAUCAUACUUUUACAUAUUUUCACAAUACAACUUUUAACACACUUUAAAAUAAUUGUAAUCCAGUAUAUUUUCUAAAAAAUAUAUUUUAGAAAAAAAUAUGUAAAAUGAAUGUUAUGUGUAUUUUUUAAAAGUGUACUUAUUUGAACAUUACUUUAAAAUAUAUUUUAGGUAUAUUUUAAACUGAAUGCUCAAAAAAGUCAUUGUAAAAAUUCACAAAGUAUUUUUAAAAAAAUACUUUAUUUAAUAUCCUUAAGUUGUGGUGUAUUUAAAGUUAAAUUUGAGUAUAAUUUUUAUAUUUUUUUCUGAAGUUUUUUUUAUACAUGCUUGGAAUUAAUUUAACUUCUUUCAGAAAGUGUUAAAAUGUAUGACUAAUGCGUUAAAAGCCCAUUUUUAAUUAUAUGCAGUGUAGACAAUUUGCGUAAAUAUGUUUAAUAAGUUUACACUGGCAAAAAAGAAUCAUGUUACAGUCAUACACACAAAUCUACAUUAAACAACACACCAGCAGCACACGUACAUGCAAGAAAAUAUGAGUUGAGUGGUUGAGUCUUAUUGGAAUUCAAAUGUCUCUUCAACUUGGUCUGUGACCAAUCAGAUUUUGUUGCUCACUGCCUUCAGCCAAUCAGAGCUGCUGACGUCAUGGUACUCGUCUGAAUCCCCCUCACUCACUCACAGAAGGCUUGCAGGUGAAGUACAAUGUAGCAGUGCAUUAUUUAUUUAAUAAAACACUGAAAGUGCAAUACAUCGCAGCCUUGAUGGCGACAACAACCGGCUAGGAAUAAAACGGCCAACACAAUCCCGGAAAGAACCAGAGAAAAAGUCCUGCUAUUUGCAGGUGAAUUGUAGUCUACCAGUUAUUUCAGAUCACUAAUUAUUCUUCUCAGUCUCACAAAUGAAAACUGUUGAUGCUUAGUUUUGCUUUAACAAACGGAGAACGAGGUUUCGGCUUGAAAUUUUCUUGUUGAGUUUGUGUGUGGUGGUUUAUGGCACAUGUUUGUAUGCAGCAUCAAAACGCCCCGUUCAUAUGAUUGGUCAAGUUGCCCCGUAUUCUGUACGAUAUUAAUUCAUAAAGAGUCGUAUACUGUAUAUGCUUGACUAUGUUCUGGAAACAAUAUCGACAUACCGUACUGAUACAGCUCCCUACUGCUAAUCCUCAUUUACUGUUCAACAAUAGUAUUGGUUCAAUGUAGGAUUUAGACAGACUAUUGUAAACGUGAAUAAAGAGUUGAACAUGCUGUCUGACCUUAUAUCUUUUGUAUAUUCUGUUAUCAGAUGCUGUUCUUCACGAGUUUCUGCGGUCACUGCCUCUGUGUAAGCGGCCAUCAGACACAAUAAUGAGAAGCUCAUCAGAAAAUUGAAUAUAAUGUGUAAUUUGUAUUUGUGUAUAGAGGGUCAGUAAGGCCAUUGGUCCAAUAAUGUUUUUUCUUUUUUUCUCGGUGUUCUUUAAUGAAAAACAUGGUAAGUUUUGCUGAAACCAUGUGAAGCUUAAAUAAAAAAACAUUGGACUUGUCAAUGAAUAAUGUCUCUUCAUUAGUGAUGUUGUUACAUUUUAUUUAUUUUAAUGGCCUUGAAAAAAAAAUGCAUUCAACAUUGGGAAAAUGUCUUAUAAGUAAUUCAUUAAACUGUAGUUAAAUGUUAGCAUGAUUAUAAUACUGUAUUGUGUGAGAUUAUGUAAUUCAAAGUACAGUAGUCAACAUUUUAAGUGGAUCAAAAAAGUUCAUCAAAGUUGUCGUAAGAACUAAGUUGUCCUAAGAAGAAGGUUUUAGGACAACUUUGAAAGGUUUUGAUCCACUUCAAAUGUUGACUACUAUAUUUUGUACAAAAGUAAUAACAAAGUAUAUUGGUAUUGACUACAAAGUGUGUAAUUUUUAGUAUUUGGAAUAAGCCAAAGGUACUGAGCAUACAGUAUAUACUAUUACCUGUAAAAUAAUAUAUUCAUAGUAUAUUUGUGUGUUCGGAAGACACUCGUAAUUAAUUUGUAAUGUACUUAAAUCACAAAUAAUGUAUACUUAUAACACAAAUAAAAUAUACUUAUAAUACAAAUAAAAUAUACUUUAUAACACAAAGUGCACUUUAAUAUCACUAAUCAAGCAUGCAAUUAGUCCCUACACAGGCAUAUACUUAAAGUGUACUAAGUAUACUUGAAGUUGUUCCAAUUUAGCACACAAAAGUACACUAAAUAUACAUAAAGUGAUGCUUUAAUACAACUUAAUUUCAACUAAAAUAUACUUAUUACAAAAUAGCACACUUCAAGUUAACUAAUCAUUAACAUACUUGAAGUAUACUGAUAAUUAGUCUGGCUGCAAGUAUACUUAGCAUACUUUUUUUCACCAGGGCAGUUUAAUUAAAAAUAUUAAAAAUAAAUACAAUACAUACAAAAAGUAUAAUAAUGCAGGGAUUUUCAACCUUUUAGGACACGCACCCCCCAUGUUUAUCUAAUUUCACUCGCCAGUUUACUGUCCGGGGUUAUGUGUGUUUCAUCGUGCUGCUCGCGUCCGGUGUAGACGGGUAUUAGUUAAAAACUGAAACAUUAAAAAUAUAAAUGGCUUACUGACUUUAGAGUGACGGCUGAGCUUGUUUUUCAUUCAGUUUAACCUUAGUUUUUUAUCAUCUCUGGUAUUUUUGAUUUUUACAAA
This is a long non-coding RNA of Ctenopharyngodon idella (grass carp), 7857 nucleotides long. RefSeq lists it as uncharacterized. The record is from RefSeq and is a predicted model, not a curated record. The transcript has 2 exons. Lineage: Eukaryota; Metazoa; Chordata; Actinopteri; Cypriniformes; Xenocyprididae.